GACGAACGCUGGCGGCGUGCUUAACACAUGCAAGUCGAACGGUAAGGCCCUUCGGGGUACACGAGUGGCGAACGGGUGAGCAACACGUGGGUGAUCUGCCCUGCACUUUGGGAUAAGCCUGGGAAACUGGGUCUAAUACCGAAUAUGACCAUGGACUUCACGGUUUGUGGUGGAAAGCUUUUGCGGUGUGGGAUGGGCCCGCGGCCUAUCAGCUUGUUGGUGGGGUAAUGGCCUACCAAGGCGACGACGGGUAGCCGGCCUGAGAGGGUGACCGGCCACACUGGGACUGAGAUACGGCCCAGACUCCUACGGGAGGCAGCAGUGGGGAAUAUUGCACAAUGGGCGCAAGCCUGAUGCAGCGACGCCGCGUGGGGGAUGACGGCCUUCGGGUUGUUAAACCGUCUUUCUACCAGGGACGAAGCGAGAGUGACGGUACCUGGAGAGAAGGACCGGCCAACUACGUGCCAGCAGCCGCGGU
This 478-nucleotide ribosomal RNA is filed under the name uncultured bacterium. RNAcentral's name for it is "bacterial SSU rRNA". It matches the Rfam family "Bacterial small subunit ribosomal RNA", at positions 28 to 521 of the family's 1533-position model. The record is from RNAcentral.